Molecule: ribosomal RNA, 406 nt
Filed under: uncultured bacterium
Lineage: Bacteria
Description: partial 16S ribosomal RNA
Rfam family: Bacterial small subunit ribosomal RNA
Source: RNAcentral
AUUGAACGCUGGCGGCAGGCCUAACACAUGCAAGUCGAGCGAGCGGCGGACGGGUGAGUAAUGUCUGGGAAACUUCCUGAUGUAGGGGGAUAACUACUGGAAACGGUAGCUAAUACCGCAUACCAUCAGAUGUGCCCAGAUGGGAUUGGCUAGUAGGUGGGGUAACGGCUCACCUAGGCGACGAUCCCUAGCUGGUCUGAGAGGAUGACCAGCCACACUGGAACUGAGACACGGUCCAGACUCCUACGGGAGGCAGCAGUGGGGAAGAGUGCACAAUGGGCGCAAGCCUGAUGCAGGCAUGCCGCGUGUGUGAAGAGGGCCUUAGGGUUGUAAAGCACUUUCAGCGGGGGGGCGUUACCCGCAGAAGAAGCACCGGCUAACUCCGUGCCAGCAGCCGCGGUAAUAC